GGUACUCCACGUGUCAUCCUCUCCAUUUCUCUUCUGCCGACUCCAUUUUCGUCCACUUCCAGUUCUUUCUUCCACUGAGUCAAACUCGACUCAACUCACCCCCCCUCUCUCUUUCUUGCCACUCUGCAACCAUUAAGCCUUGCCGAAUUUUCUACCGUUCCAUUUCCGGUCGUUCUCAAUUUCUCAUUUACUAGCCACUUCUACUUUCCCGUCUAGUACCAUGUCUUCAACCACCGCCGGGAGCUUUUCCUCCACGAGCACCGCAGCAGCGAAAAACGACGAAGCUGAAACUCUACGGCGCAACCGAAUCCUGUCGAGCAAGCUCUACUUCGACGUUCCCCCUUCUAAAGUUCCUCUGAUAUACUCGCCUUCAUACGACAUUGCCUUCCUCGGUAUAGAAAAGUUGCAUCCUUUUGAUUCUUCUAAAUGGGGCCGUAUCUGUCAGUUCCUCAUUGUGGCCGGUCUUCUGGAGAAAAAGCGCAUAGUUGAGCCUCUGGAGUCUACCAAAGAUGAUCUCCUAGUGGUGCAUCCAGAAUCAUACUUGAAUAGCCUAAAGAGUAGCUCAAAUGUUGCCAUCAUUGUUGAGGUCCCCCCUGUUGCUGUAUUGCCCAAUUGUGUUGUGCAGCAGAAAGUUCUUUCUCCUUUUCGCAAGCAGGUUGGAGGAACUAUAUUGGCUGCAAAGCUUGCUAAAGAACGUGGAUGGGCUAUCAACGUUGGGGGUGGGUUCCAUCAUUGUUCGGCUGCUAAAGGAGGUGGAUUUUGUGCUUAUGCAGACAUUUCUCUUUGCAUACAUUUUGCCUUUGCCCGUCUAAAUAUUUCAAGGGUGAUGAUUAUUGAUCUCGAUGCACACCAAGGAAAUGGGCAUGAAUUGGAUUUUUCUAGUGACAGAAGAGUUUAUAUUCUUGAUAUGUACAAUCCUCAUAUUUAUCCCUUUGACUAUGAAGCCAGGAGGUAUAUUGAUCAGCAAAUUGAAGUGCCGACUGGGACAUUAACAAGCGAUUACUUGUCAAAACUAGAUGAAGCUCUUGAGGUUGCUUCACGGAAUUUUAGUCCUGAGUUGAUCGUGUACAAUGCUGGCACUGAUAUUCUGGACGGAGAUCCUCUGGGCAGGUUGAAGCAAAAGAAGACAGAAAGCAAACGUAACGCUGCCGAUGAAGAUUUCAUGAAUGUUAACUAUCAAAUGCAUAUCUUUGCAGAUCAGCCCGGAGGGAAUUGCCACAAGGGAUGAAAAGGUGUUUAGUUUUGCUCGUGAGAGGAGCAUACCUCUUGUCAUGCUUACAUCAGGUGGUUAUAUGAAAUCCAGUGCAAGAGUGAUUGCAGAUUCAAUUAUCAACCUCUCCAAGAAGUCCUUCAUAGAUCUGCAGAGUUCACCAGGGAAAAUUUAACCGCCAUAGAGUCCUUUUUGUGCUCCUAUUACAAAAAACAAAAUGUUUACUACUUGGAAAUCAAAAUAGGUUCCUCAAUUUUUUCUUUGGUAUGCUAGUCAAGUACUCCUGGAAAACGAAAAGAAUAGUCUGUAGAUAUAGGAGAAAUUAGAAAAACGCCAUGGAUGUCAUCAUCUCCUCUCUCUCUCUCUCUCUCUCUCUAAGUGGUGAUAUGUAGACAGGCUACAAGUCUAAUACAAAGCUGUACUGCUGAAAUUGUUGUUUUAUUUUGGAGUGGCUGUAAGGAAGCAAGAUCAAGAGAUGAAGGCUGAAAGUUAUUCGGGUUAAACAGUGCAGAGCACUCAAUGAACUGGCAACUUGCUCCUGGAAUUCAUUGCAAAGGUCCAGUCUCGUUCAGACAAGAGUAUCAGAUUCUUCUGUCAGCCAUGAAAUGCUGAGCUGAAAUGGUUCUAUCAGCCAUGUAAUAUAUGUGUCACAUGAAUCUUUUUACGCUGUUGAGUUCUGAAACCUUUCUCUGGGAUUGGGAGUUAGCUACUUAAUCCUCCUCUUAAUGACCAAGAAACCAUGGGGAACGUGAGCCUUCGGCAAGAA
Molecule: RNA transcript, 1976 nt
Organism: Coffea arabica (coffee)
Lineage: Eukaryota; Viridiplantae; Streptophyta; Magnoliopsida; Gentianales; Rubiaceae
Gene name: histone deacetylase 2
Source: RefSeq, a predicted model, not a curated record